CAGUGCGUAGCGCAGUCUGGUAGCGUGGGAGCCUUGGAUGCUCUGGGUCGUGGGUUCAAAUCCUACCGCACUGA
This 74-nucleotide transfer RNA is filed under the name Klebsiella phage KP12. RNAcentral's name for it is "tRNA-Pro". It matches the Rfam family "tRNA". Rfam says of the family: Transfer RNA (tRNA) molecules are approximately 80 nucleotides in length. Their secondary structure includes four short double-helical elements and three loops (D, anti-codon, and T loops). Further hydrogen bonds mediate the characteristic L-shaped molecular structure. tRNAs have two regions of fundamental functional importance: the anti-codon, which is responsible for specific mRNA codon recognition, and the 3' end, to which the tRNAs corresponding amino acid is attached (by aminoacyl-tRNA synthetases). tRNAs cope with the degeneracy of the genetic code in two manners: having more than one tRNA (with a specific anti-codon) for a particular amino acid; and 'wobble' base-pairing, i.e. permitting non-standard base-pairing at the 3rd anti-codon position. RNAcentral also lists the same sequence under 1 other name. Lineage: Duplodnaviria; Heunggongvirae; Uroviricota; Caudoviricetes. The record is from RNAcentral.